Molecule: ribosomal RNA, 301 nt
Filed under: uncultured bacterium
Lineage: Bacteria
Description: partial 16S ribosomal RNA
Rfam family: Bacterial small subunit ribosomal RNA
Source: RNAcentral
CAGCAGCCGCGGGAAUACGGAGGGAGCUAGCGUUGUUCGGAAUCACUGGGCGUAAAGCGCACGUAGGCGGCUAUUCAAGUCAGGGGUGAAAGCCCGGGGCUCGACCCCGGAACUGCCUUUGAAACUAGAUAGCUUGAAUCUUGGAGAGGCGAGUGGAAUUCCGAGUGUAGAGGUGAAAUUCGUAGAUAUUCGGAAGAACACCAGUGGCGAAGGCGACUCGCUGGACAAGUAUUGACGCUGGGGUGCGAAAGCGUGGGGAGCAAACAGGAUUAGAUACCCGGGUAGUCCCUGUCUCUUAUAC